UAAGGUUAAGUUAAUAAGGGCGCACGGUGGAUGCCUUGGCACUAGGAGCCGACGAAGGACGUGACAAACGACGAUAUGCCUUGGGUAGCUGUAAGUAAGCGAUGAUCCAGGGAUUUCCGAAUGGGGGAACCCAACAGGUAGUACCUGUUACCCACAUCUGUUAAGGAUGUGAGGAGGAAGACGCAGUGAACUGAAACAUCUAAGUAGCUGCAGGAAGAGAAAGCAAAAGCGAUUGCCUUAGUAGCGGCGAGCGAAACGGCAGGAGGGCAAACCGAAGAGUUUACUCUUCGGGGUUGUAGGACUGCAAUGUGGACUCAAAGAUUAUAGAAGAAUGAUUUGGGAAGAUCAGCCAAAGAGAGUAAUAGCCUCGUAUUUAAAAUAGUCUUUGUACCUAGCAGUAUCCUGAGUACGGCGGGACACGUGAAAUCCCGUCGGAAUCUGGGAGGACCAUCUCCCAACCCUAAAUACUCCCUAGUGACCGAUAGUGAACCAGUACCGUGAGGGAAAGGUGAAAAGCACCCCGGGAGGGGAGUGAAAUAGAACCUGAAACCGUGUGCCUACAACAAGUUCGAGCCCGUUAAUGGGUGAGAGCGUGCCUUUUGUAGAAUGAACCGGCGAGUUACGUUAUGAUGCGAGGUUAAGUUGAAGAGACGGAGCCGUAGGGAAACCGAGUCUGAAUAGGGCGCCUUAGUAUCAUGACGUAGACCCGAAACCAUGUGACCUACCCAUGAGCAGGUUGAAGGUGCGGUAAGACGCACUGGAGGACCGAACCAGGGCACGUUGAAAAGUGCUUGGAUGACUUGUGGGUAGCGGAGAAAUUCCAAACGAACUUGGAGAUAGCUGGUUCUCUCCGAAAUAGCUUUAGGGCUAGCGUCGACAUUAGAGAUUCUUGGAGGUAGAGCACUGUUUGGGUGAGGGGUCCAUCCCGGAUUACCAAUCUCAGAUAAACUCCGAAUGCCAAUGAAUUAUGGUCGGCAGUCAGACUGCGAGUGCUAAGAUCCGUAGUCGAAAGGGAAACAGCCCAGACCACCAGCUAAGGUCCCAAAAUAAUUGUUAAGUGGAAAAGGAUGUGGGGUUGCACAGACAACUAGGAUGUUAGCUUAGAAGCAGCUAUUCAUUCAAAGAGUGCGUAAUAGCUCACUAGUCGAGUGACCCUGCGCCGAAAAUGUACCGGGGCUAAAACAAUUUACCGAAGCUGUGGAUACCUUUAUAGGUAUGGUAGGAGAGCGUUCUAUGUGUGAUGAAGGUAUACCGUGAGGAGUGCUGGAACGCAUAGAAGUGAGAAUGCCGGUAUGAGUAGCGAAAGACAGGUGAGAAUCCUGUCCACCG
This 1329-nucleotide ribosomal RNA is filed under the name Streptococcus pneumoniae. Its description in RNAcentral is "bacterial LSU rRNA". It matches the Rfam family "Bacterial large subunit ribosomal RNA", at positions 1 to 1339 of the family's 2925-position model. The record is from RNAcentral. Lineage: Bacteria; Bacillati; Bacillota; Bacilli; Lactobacillales; Streptococcaceae.